GAACGAACACUGGCGGCGUGCCUAAUACAUGCAAGUCGCACGGGAAAAUGCCCUUCGGGGCAUAAGUACAGUGGCAAACGGGUGCGUAACACGUAAGCAACCUUCCCUUUAGUUGGGGAUAACUCUACUAACGUGGAGCUAAUACCGAAUAGCGUUGCGUCGCCGCAUGGCGAUGCAAUAAAAGAACUUCGGUUCGCUAAGGGUGGGGCUUGCGGCCUAUUAGCUAGUUGGCGGGGUAACGGCCCACCAAGGCUUUGAUAGGUAGCCGGCUUGAGAGAGUGGCCGGCCACAUUGGGACUGAGAUACGGCCCAAACUCCUACGGGAGGCAGCAGUAGGGAAUCUUGCGCAAUGGGCGAAAGCCUGACGCAGCAACGCCGCGUGAGUGAUGAAGGUCUUCGGACUGUAAAGCUCUGUCGGGAGGGAAUAAACUGCCGGGGUAAUCCCCGGCAUUGACGGUACCUCCAAAGGAAGCUCCGGCUAACUUCGUGCCAGCAGCCGCGGUAAUACGAGGGGAGCUAGUGUUGUUCGGAUUUACUGGGCGUAAAGGGAGUGUAGGCGGAAGCCUAAGUCAGAGGUGAAAUUUUAGGGCUUAACCCUAAACCUGCCUCUGAUACUGGGUUUCUUGAGUAUGGAAGAGGGCGAUGGAAUUCCUGGUGUAGCGGUGGAAUGCGUAGAUAUCAGGAGGAACACCGAUAGCGAAGGCAGUCGCCUGGUACAAUACUGACGCUGAAACUCGAAAGCGUGGGGAGCAAACAGGAUUAGAUACCCUGGUAGUGCACGCUGUAAACGAUGGAUACUAGAUAUCGGGAGCCUCAACUCUUCCGGUGUCGUAGCUAACGCGUUAAGUAUCCCGCCUGGGGAGUACGGCCGCAAGACUGAAACUCAAAGAAAUUGACGGGGGCCCGCACAAGCGGUGGAGCAUGUGGUUUAAUUCGAUGGUACGCGAAGAACCUUACCUGGGCUUGACAUGGGGAUGCCGGGUGCAGAGAUGUGCCUUUCCCUUCGGGGACGUCCCACACAGGUGCUGCAUGGCUGUCGUCAGCUCGUGUCGUGAGAUGUUGGGUUAAGUCCCGCAACGAGCGCAACCCUUGUCCUGUGUUACCAGCGGGUAAAGCCGGGGACUCACGGGAGACUGCCUCGAUUUUAAGAGGAGGAAGGUGGGGACGACGUCAAGUCAUCAUGGCUUUUACGUCCAGGGCUACACACGUGCUACAAUGGCCGGUACAGAGGGUCGCAAUACCGUAAGGUGGAGCUAAUCUCAAAAAGCCGGUCUCAGUUCGGAUUGGAGUCUGCAAUUCGACUUCAUGAAGUUGGAAUCGCUAGUAAUCGCGGAUCAGCAAUGCCGCGGUGAAUACGUUAUCGGGCCUUGUACUCACCG
This 1379-nucleotide ribosomal RNA is filed under the name uncultured bacterium. Its description in RNAcentral is "bacterial SSU rRNA". It matches the Rfam family "Bacterial small subunit ribosomal RNA", at positions 27 to 1392 of the family's 1533-position model. The record is from RNAcentral.